Molecule: ribosomal RNA, 550 nt
Filed under: uncultured bacterium
Lineage: Bacteria
Description: bacterial SSU rRNA
Rfam family: Bacterial small subunit ribosomal RNA
Source: RNAcentral
GGGGAAUCUUCCGCAAUGGGCGAAAGCCUGACGGAGCAACGCCGCGUGAGUGAAGACGGCCUUCGGGUUGUAAAGCUCUGUUAUACGGGACGAAAAGUCUUGUGGUUAAUACCCAUAAGAAGUGACGGUACCGUAAGAGAAAGCCACGGCUAACUACGUGCCAGCAGCCGCGGUAAUACGUAGGUGGCAAGCGUUGUCCGGAAUUAUUGGGCGUAAAGGGCGCGCAGGCGGCUUCUUAAGUCUGUCUUAAAAGUGCGGGGCUUAACCCCGUGAUGGGAUGGAAACUGGGAAGCUCAGAGUAUCGGAGAGGAAAGCGGAAUUCCUAGUGUAGCGGUGAAAUGCGUAGAUAUUAGGAGGAACACCAGUGGCGAAAGCGGCUUUCUGGACGAAAACUGACGCUGAGGCGCGAAAGCCAGGGGAGCGAACGGGAUUAGAUACCCCGGUAGUCCUGGCCGUAAACGAUGGGUACUAGGUGUAGGAGGUAUCGACCCCUUCUGUGCCGGAGUUAACGCAAUAAGUACCCCGCCUGGGGAGUACGGCCGCAAGGUUG